GAUGAACGCUGGCGGCGUGCCUAAUACAUGCAAGUCGAGCGAACAGAUAAGGAGCUUGCUCCUUUGACGUUAGCGGCGGACGGGUGAGUAACACGUGGGUAACCUACCUAUAAGACUGGGAUAACUUCGGGAAACCGGAGCUAAUACCGGAUAACAUUUGGAACCGCAUGGUUCUAAAGUGAAAGAUGGUUUUGCUAUCACUUAUAGAUGGACCCGCGCCGUAUUAGCUAGUUGGUAAGGUAACGGCUUACCAAGGCAACGAUACGUAGCCGACCUGAGAGGGUGAUCAGCCACACUGGAACUGAGACACGGUCCAGACUCCUACGGGAGGCAGCAGUAGGGAAUCUUCCGCAAUGGGCGAAAGCCUGACGGAGCAACGCCGCGUGAGUGAUGAAGGGUUUCGGCUCGUAAAACUCUGUUAUUAGGGAAGAACAAAUGUGUAAGUAACUGUGCACGUCUUGACGGUACCUAAUCAGAAAGCCACGGCUAACUACGUG
This 497-nucleotide ribosomal RNA is filed under the name uncultured bacterium. Its description in RNAcentral is "partial 16S ribosomal RNA". It matches the Rfam family "Bacterial small subunit ribosomal RNA", at positions 28 to 507 of the family's 1533-position model. The record is from RNAcentral.